CAUUUAUUUUUUCUUUUUCUUUCUUCCUUCGAGGGUAAUGGCCGGUUCUUUCUUCUUCUUUUUUCUUUGUUCUUUUUUCUGCCUUCUUCCUUCUUUCCCUUCUUCCUUCUUUCUUCCCCUUAUUUCUUUUCUUCCCCAGCCUUAUUUCUUCACACAGUCACAGAGAGCCAGAGAGGGAAAUGGAAGACGGAGACCGAGAGAGCUGGAGAUCCGGUCUGUGAGGGAGAUGGAAGAGGGAGACCGGUCGGAGCUGGAGAUGGAAGAGGGAGAUCGAUUUCCGGCGACCGAUUCUCAGGGAUUGGUAUUUUUUUUCUGGUUUUAUUUCCGGCGAUUUGCUGUUGUUUGGGUGUAUUGAAUUUGAUUUUGGGUUUCGGGCGUUUUGGUUUGAUAAUUUCGGGCGAAUUGGUUUGAUGAUUUAGGGUUUCUCUUGUAUUGAUUUUUUUUUCCCA
Alnus glutinosa is the source of this 449-nucleotide long non-coding RNA. RefSeq lists it as uncharacterized. The record is from RefSeq and is a predicted model, not a curated record. The transcript has 2 exons. Lineage: Eukaryota; Viridiplantae; Streptophyta; Magnoliopsida; Fagales; Betulaceae.